CUUGUCUAGCAGAGCCAUCUGUGUUACAGCCUCCUCCAUAGCUGCACUGGACUUUCAGCCCUGUCUCCUCCCUGACUCUGCCUGCAAGUGCACUCCUCUUUGUCUUUCUUACCCUGCUGAUAUUAGGACCAACUUCUAGCCAAAUAGACAGAAUGGGCAGAGAGAAACGGCAGUUGAAAUGCAACAUGCCCUCCAGUUCUCAUCUGACACUAUGCCAGCGCUAUAAGAGUCGCACUCCCAGAGAAGCCAACCUUAUGAUUUGGGAUCAGACCUUUGGCACUGCUGGAAGCAGAGGUUUAUGCCCCAGCCUUCCCCAGGUUCACGAUGCAGGAAACUUUGUGGGUGAAUCUCCCUUUAUCUUUCUCAGAUGUUCCCGUUGAAGGGUCAGAGGAUUUGUGUUCCCUAUAGACGUGUAUAAAACCUUGACUGGCCAAGGGACUAUUGGCCAAUGUCUGCAAGCCUGGAAUUUGCAAACUCAAGUGGUACAACCUGAAAGCCUUAAUGGGUGGGUAAAACUCCCAAGCAACUAGGAGGCUUUUGUCAGCUGGCUAGAGCUGUGGCUGUGGCUUGAAUUGUUGUGUGUGAUCCCUUGGGUUGAAUGGCACAAUCUCACCUGACCCGGUAGAGCAGACAUAGAGUCAUUCCUGAAGGUUAGCAGGUUGUGGACAUUGCAUGACCAGUUUCCUCCGGGAAAGCACCCCAUUGAAUGUGCUGUUCCCACUGGGGAUUUCUGUAGAAAGGAUUGGCAUCCCUCAAAGCCCUGUUCCCUAUGGCUGGGGCUUGCCCUUCUCUCCUUACAGAGCAGGGCUGACUGUCACUGUGUCCAUGGUAACUCAGACCCAUACAGGCGUCAGGUGUACACUCGAGACUCAGAGUUCAGAUCUUUUCCUGUGAAAAUACUAUAUUGUCAUGUUGUGACUAUGUUUGAGUGAAGCUGUAACCAUGAUGGUUCAGGAAACAUGUGAGAGGCAAGGAUUUUUGUAGGUGAUAUCAUUCAAAAACUUGUCUGUCAUAUAGUUGAUCCAAUAAAGGUGUCAGCCACAAAAAUCCUUGACUCGUGCAUUAUCUUCUUCUAUCAUAUAAUGGAAAUGAAAUCCUAAAAUGCCUGUGGAGAUGUUCUCCAUGAAGCAACUCCUGUAUCUUCCCACCUUUCCUAACUGCAUCACUUGAUAGUCUGGAAAUUCUGGGUCGGUGGCUAGUCUUCUGUUACCCCAUUCCUGACAUAGAGGGGCUCCAAGGCACCUUUUGAACUUCACAGUUAUACUAAUAACAUCGUGUUAAACUUUCUAGGCAAGAACAACUCAGAAUCCUGGUCGGGCAAUAACAAGACCAGCUGAGACGAGUCUCUGCAAAAGGCGUUGCAUCUUUUAGCGGUAAACAGCUUUUCCAAUCCUGCAUUCCAGCAAUGGCCCAUGCGAUUCCAGGCAAGAACUGUGUGGCUUUAUGCAUCAUCCCAAAACUCUUGGCUUUAGUUAGUCUCCUCUUCAGCUACCCAAGUGUGCUCUUACAAUAACUGCUUCAUGCAGCCUCAGACCUGUACAAAAAGUGUCUCCAGACCUACAUGCAGUGGUGACUUCAAGGACUGGGGUGAUUUAUAGAGAUGGGAACUUUGUGUAAAGGAAAAGUGGCCAUCCUCACACAGGCUGCAUGAGCUCUGGAGACAGCUCCAUCACUUCUGCCCUCAGAUUAGGCAUUGAAGAAAAUCUUUGGGGCUGUAUGCCAGCAGUUCCUGCGCCCCACUAGCAAAGCAGAAAUGGGAUCCCCAAACCCCAGCUCCCUUCCAGAUGCACACCCUUGGCCUGAAAGAUGCGGAUCCACAUCUUUCCUAGACAGUGAAAGCAUCAGCUUGGCAAGUCAGCCAUAGCGAGAACAGCAGACCAUAUGCAUACGGCUCCUUCUGUGUAUCCACUGAAUGAUUCUGCGUGGGUGGGGAAAAAAGCACUCGGGGUUGAAAUCAGACCUAAAGGGUCAGCUCAUCAUCUGGGAAGAAGGACUGUUGCUCAGCUGGCAUCAUGCUGAUUUAAAACAGCUGAAGGUUUGGCCCUGACUCUUUUAGCUUGGAGGCAAAACAUUUUUUUCAUUUUUAAAUUUGUUUUUAAGAGAACUGGAAGGGGAGGAGUAAAAUGUGUUUUGAGAGCUGCAAGCAGGCAAAACAAUGAAAUUGCUGCUUUCUGCAGUCUCCCCUCCCCACCCCCCUUCCUUUUUAUGUGCCUAAAACUAACAGCAGCAACAAAACCUUCAUUUCUUAUGUUAUGAUAUGAUUCAUGAUGCAGGCUGUUAUUGCCUUAUUAAAAAAUAAAACACUGAUGGGGGGAGGGGGAUGGGGGGGAAAGCCUAAACCCCUAAAAUGGAACAUCUGCAGAUGAUUAAACUGAUGAUUAAACUGUGGUGGGUUCUGGAAAGAAAAGAACAGUGGGGCUGUGGUGUGACAGAUAAGA
Molecule: long non-coding RNA, 2438 nt
Organism: Alligator mississippiensis (American alligator)
Lineage: Eukaryota; Metazoa; Chordata; Crocodylia; Alligatoridae
Exons: 4
Source: RefSeq, a predicted model, not a curated record